GAUGAAGAACGCAGCGAAAUGCGAUAAGUAGUGUGAAUUGCAGAAUUUAGUGAAUCAUCGAAUUUUUGAACGCACAUUGCGCCCUUUGGUAUUCCGAAGGGCAUACCUGUUCGAGCGUAAUUUGACCUCUCAAGCGUAGCUUGGUUUUGGGCGCUUUUGUCCUGUUUCUGUGAUGGGACUCGCCUUAAAAGUAUCGGCGCCAAGUAAGUCAAUUCGCGGGCACAGUACAUUGUGGCUCCAUGAUUGAGUUAGCGUAGCUGCCGUUGACCUUUUCUUUUCUGAAUUGACCUCGGAUCAGGUAGGGAUACCCGCUGAACUUAAGCAUAUCAAUAAGCGGAGGA
Molecule: unclassified non-coding RNA, 341 nt
Filed under: soil metagenome
Description: partial contains 5.8S ribosomal RNA, internal transcribed spacer 2, and large subunit ribosomal RNA
Rfam family: 5.8S ribosomal RNA (bases 1-120)
Source: RNAcentral